Venturia canescens is the source of this 735-nucleotide long non-coding RNA. RefSeq lists it as uncharacterized. The record is from RefSeq and is a predicted model, not a curated record. The transcript is spliced from 3 exons. Lineage: Eukaryota; Metazoa; Arthropoda; Insecta; Hymenoptera; Ichneumonidae.
UGCAUGAAACUCGUUUACGAAUUCUUCGAAGGUAUGUCGCGGGUAGUCAUUGCACUUAACGUAGUAUCUUACUAUUUCUUCGAUACUCGUCCUUUAACGUUAAAUUAUUUUUUUCCUCCACUCUCGCAAUACACAAAAAGGAGCUAACAACAAUUGAGUGAAGGUAACGGUCGGACCGAAUACCGAGCCAUGAGAGAAGAAUCAUUUUUGAGCAGUAUAUACUACCGGGAACGGUAUGCCUUCAAUAAGCAUCGAGGUCGUUUCACGAACCAGUUCGAAUAGCGAUAGACGGAAAGUACCUACAUUACGUUCUUCCGGAGAAAGAAUUGACGUACCUACAGAUCUCAACGAUUCAACAAAUUUGGAGACGCAGCUGGAAUGAUUGGAACUGAUGUUUUCCAGUUCGCACUUUGAGACCACACAACAACCGCUCAGCAAUAUGUUGCUUUUACUGGGCAUCAUUUUAAAUUUAUUGCAUCUGUACACUUAUGGUUCGAAGAAUUUGUGAACUUUAUUUUGCCUCUUGUUUUUACGAUAUUUUUUGCGUUUAUUCAUUAAUUCAAUUUCACGGGAUUGCAUAGAACAUAUAUUGUUACGUUAUUAUUUCUUAUACAAAAAGGUUCUUCUAUCGAAAAUUAAAAAUUCAUAAUCUUUUCCAAGGAAAAAAAAUAUUGGGACAAGUACAUUGUUGGUCCCUCGUUUGCUGAUAAAUCCAUCCAUAAAAAAAACUUGAAA